Molecule: ribosomal RNA, 253 nt
Filed under: uncultured bacterium
Lineage: Bacteria
Description: partial 16S ribosomal RNA
Rfam family: Bacterial small subunit ribosomal RNA
Source: RNAcentral
UACGGAGGGAGCUAGCGUUGUUCGGAAUUACUGGGCGUAAAGCGCGCGUAGGCGGCUUUGUAAGUUAGAGGUGAAAGCCCGGGGCUCAACCCCGGAACUGCCUUUAAGACUGCAUCGCUUGAAUCCAGGAGAGGUGAGUGGAAUUCCGAGUGUAGAGGUGAAAUUCGUAGAUAUUCGGAAGGACACCAGUGGCGAAGGCGGCUCACUGGACUGGUAUUGACGCUGAGGUGCGAAAGCGUGGGGAGCAAACAGG